CUGGAUUCAGCCUAAUAUCAUCCAUUUAAGAUUUCAGGGAAGUAUUGAAACCUAUCUCCCACAAAAGAUAAGUGCAAGGGUAUCUGAAAGGACUGGCAAACAGAUUGUUAGAGAUGAGUGUGUAGCUGAAAAUCUGACUGUCUUCUGGGGAAGUGCCACAAAUCAUCCUUGAAUCUAAUCAUGUUACUACUGGUGGGCAUGCAUUCCAUUACCAAUGACAUAAGCUCCUAAACUGCUGUCUGAAGCCUGAAAUAUGACGUCAGCAAACAACACUACCAAAGGCGAGAUCGCCAAGACGGGUCAUGAAGCAAUUCCUUUUACAUCUUUUUAUUUCAGGUGUUGGCAGCUUUUGUUUUAAACUGGACCGUCUCUUCAUGUGCGAACUUGUUUCUUUUAAAUUCGGUUCCUCGCAGUGUUAAUUUUAGUUCAAAUGUUUCGCUCUGCUUUAACAGGUCGGUACCCGUGUCAGGUUCAUUUAAAAACAAACCUCAUUGCCAAUGUUAUGUUUUCUAAC
Long non-coding RNA from Mobula hypostoma (lesser devil ray), 514 nucleotides. RefSeq lists it as uncharacterized. NCBI's taxonomy places the organism in Eukaryota, Metazoa, Chordata, Chondrichthyes, Myliobatiformes, Myliobatidae. The record is from RefSeq and is a predicted model, not a curated record. The transcript has 3 exons.